GACGAACGCUGGCGGCGUGCUUAACACAUGCAAGUCGAACGGAAAGACCAUGCUCUUGUGGCGUGCUCGAGAGGCGAACGGGUGAGUAACACGCGAGUAUACUGUCCUUGACUUUCGGAUAACUUCAGGAAACUGGGGCUAAUACAGCAUAGGAGCUUCUGAUGCACGGUGGGGGAUGGAAAGUGUCGGCGGUAGGGGAUGGACUCGCGGCUUAUCCGCUUGAUGGUGGGGUAGUGGCUUACCAAGCCUUCGACGGGUAGCCGGCCUGAGAGGGUGACCGGCCACAUUGGGACUGAGAGACGGACCAGACGCCUACGGGAGGCAGCAGUGGGGAGUCUUGCGCAAUGAGGGGAAGCCAGAUGCAGCAACGUCGCGUGCGUAAUGACGGGUUUCGGGGGAUGAACCGCUUUCGCCUGUGACGAGGCGUGAGUGACGGUAAUGGGUAAAGAAGCACCGGCUAACUACGUG
RNAcentral lists this ribosomal RNA (468 nucleotides) under uncultured bacterium. RNAcentral's name for it is "partial 16S ribosomal RNA". It matches the Rfam family "Bacterial small subunit ribosomal RNA", at positions 28 to 507 of the family's 1533-position model. The record is from RNAcentral.